CGAGUACUCCUUUCGUUCCAAAUUACUUGUCACACAAAUAGAUGUAUUUAGAACUAAAAUACAUCUAGAUACAUCCAUACCUGACAAGUAAUUCGGAACGGAAGGAGUAUCUC
Triticum aestivum (bread wheat) is the source of this 113-nucleotide non-coding RNA. NCBI's taxonomy places the organism in Eukaryota, Viridiplantae, Streptophyta, Magnoliopsida, Poales, Poaceae. The record is from Rfam.